GCGUAAGCGCGCGCAGGUGGUUUCUUAAGUCUGAUGUGAAAGCCCACGGCUCAACCGGGGAGGGGCAUUGGAAACUGGGAGACUUGAGUGCAGAAGAAGAAAGUGGAAUUCCCUGUGUAGCGGUGAAAUGCGUAGAGAUAUGGAGGAACACCCCUGGCGAAGGCGACUUUCUGGUCUGUAACUGACACUGAGGCGCGAAAGCGUGGGGAGCAAACAGGAUUAUAUACCCUGGUAGUCCACCCCCUAAACGAUGAAUGCUAAUUGUUAGAGGGUUUC
This 276-nucleotide ribosomal RNA is filed under the name Geobacillus stearothermophilus. RNAcentral describes it as "partial 16S ribosomal RNA". It matches the Rfam family "Bacterial small subunit ribosomal RNA", at positions 563 to 834 of the family's 1533-position model. Lineage: Bacteria; Bacillati; Bacillota; Bacilli; Caryophanales; Anoxybacillaceae. The record is from RNAcentral.